GGGAGUAUCCUGUGUAAACAAGCUGAAAUAAAUAAAUAAUGCUCCCAAAUACUCAAUGUUAUGCGUUUUCCUGUUUCUUCAAGGCUGUGAAAUAUCCCUUAACCAUGCUCCCUGUGUUUACAGAGGGAUACAUCUCACAAUUGAAGAGCAAGUCACGAGUUCCAGAGAUAGAGGAGUAAAGGCUGGGUCAAGCUUUAUUCUUCUAUGCCAAAGCCGCAGAUUUCUGAAGAAAUCUAGAAUGGAUUUUAGCCAGUCCUGUGACAUCUCUCCAACGCAGAGUACCCCAGAAUCUCCAGCCUCCCCACAACAGCCUCAGAACCAUACUGUGCAUCAAACCCGCUGAUUUUGCAAAUUUGAGCAGCAGCAUUGUGGGAGCCAGUUCACUGCGUUCUUGGAAAUUGAAUGUCACUGAUUUCAUCCAGCAGUGUUUCUUGUCUAUCCUGGUAAUGUCUGUGUACAACUGGCAACAUGAACAGAUGCAAGACCAGGGGGGACAUAUUCUGUUUGCUUCCAGCAAGUGCCAGUGUUGAUGACAAAGGCUGUACUUUCAAUGCUUAGUGUGUACAAAGUCAAGUGACAUAGACACCACGUGUAUGUAUACAGUUUAGCUUGUAUGUGUAUGUAUUGGGAGGUGUGUAUGAAUGCUGAAAUGGCUGUAUACUUUAUAAAUGUUUUUUAAUGUUUCCCUUUGGUAUCUCUUACCUCUUCCUUUGAUCUGUGGUACUUACAUCUUCAUAGAGACCUUCCCUGCUGCUCAAUAGGUCCUUCAGGUCUGUUUUGCAGGCAGAAUACUUUCUACAAUAGCACCAUUUACACUUGGCAUUAACAGCUUACACAAUUAAAGCUGAUGUUUUCAACCUGACCCAUUUAUUGUGCUCUAAACAUCUGUCCAAUAAAAAUGGCAUCCAAGUUUUUUUUAAAAGAUUAAUUAUGUAUUUAGGAAGCAAAUGAAUAUCACAACCUGGGGUGUAGUUUCCGUCUCUCAGGUCUGGCUCAGAGACACUAAAGUAGAAGUUUCUCAUGCUCAUAAGACAGGAGCUGUAGGGGGGCAACAUCAGUUACAAAUGAGAUCUGGGUAGAUUGACAAACAGAAGUGCCAGGUUUGCUUUUUCCUUCUAAUGUGACACAUAUGAUCGCCCUCUUAUCUGUGUGCAUGUUGGUGGUACUCUGUAAGCACAGUGAGGCUUGUAAAAUGCUUUGAAAAAGGUUUGAUUUGCAUGAUAUUUGAUUUUUGUACAGCACCCUCAUUACAUUCAGAUCAGCUUCUUUUUGAGAUAAGGGUUAGGCAUGGCUGGUUGGGAAUCCUGGAGUGCACUAUAAAAAUGUAUUCAAUCGAUGACAAUGCUCUAGACUUCAGGUUUUGCAAAACUCUGUCUGCUGAGAUUUGUUAAUUGAGUUCUAUUAUAAUACACAUGGUCAACAUUUAAAAAAUAAAAGUCAGUUUAAAUUAGUUUCACCAUACUUUUACCAAAUUAAUAUUGGAGAAAGUAGAUGUAUUUAAUCUCUAUCAAAGCUACCUGAAUAUGACCUCCUUCUAAAACUGUGCAUGUUAAAGUAGAUUCUGUUUUCAUAUAACAAAAAAUAUCUUUGUUUGCAAUAGUUGUUCUUUUUCUGCUAUAUCUGGCCAAAUCAGAGAAAUAGCAUCCCUCAUUCACACCUUGAAAAAAUGUAGAUGUGUGCCUGUGAUAAUCUUCUAGGAAUCGAGCCAAAGAUGGCUUCGUCUGUGCUGUAGCUGGCACCAGAGUAAUUAAACCUCCACAAAUGCAGAAUAUGUAAAAAAAAAGUCCAAUCAUAUCCAGGACAAUCAUUUUGGUUUGGCAUGAUUUCUUUAAAUUCAGUUUAGGCCCUUUUCUUGUUUUCUUUUUUCAUUUCUUUGUGUUCUUGUGGUUGAGAGAUCUGUUUCCAGCAAUCUUCUGCAAAGAUGCGAAGAAAAAAAAUCAAUUUACGACACCUGCUUCAGCAAAAGCUGUGUACACCUGUCUGUAAAUCUCUUGGUAAAUGCAAGCUUUUUUUUAAAAAAAAUUAAUUAAAAUCUGAAAAAAGAAAGACA
Lepisosteus oculatus (spotted gar) is the source of this 2050-nucleotide long non-coding RNA. RefSeq lists it as uncharacterized. NCBI's taxonomy places the organism in Eukaryota, Metazoa, Chordata, Actinopteri, Semionotiformes, Lepisosteidae. The record is from RefSeq and is a predicted model, not a curated record.